CGGGAGUCCGGGUGCCGCCGGUUACACUUCUGAGCGCCUUCGGAAAGCCACAGGGCAGGGGGAGUGUGUGCUGAGAAGCGGGGGGAGGAGGAGUAGGCAGGCCCAGCUUCUGGGCCAGCCCGGUGACACACAGAGAGGCAUAAACCCGGCUGGUGAUGUUGGGUCCGGGCGCUCACGUGUGUAGAGACCCACCGGCUUGUCCGUACGCCGUAAGGGCACCUGUCGUGUGAGUGGCUCCGGGCGUGGCUGCUCGCCGGACGUCCAGUUUCUGUAAGAUUGCUCUCUAGGGGCCUACCUAACCCGGGCUCCAGAGGGGAACGUAAGAAGUUUAACGGAGCCGGGUCUGAGCAGAUUAAGGGAGUGGAACAGCGGCUGGGCCCGAGAGGGUGGGGACUGCGGGGGCUGGGGGGUAGGGAACCACCUACUUGCCCGGUCUCCCCGGCAGAAAGGUCUUUUGGCAAGACUGGCUUGACAAAGAUGGCCCUGGAAUGUCUAGAGUCUGGGUCGUGAUGAUCACUGAGUGAGUGGCACCGGGCUGAGCCUGGGCAGUUUGUUGACUGACAAAGAGGGAUGCUAGCAGUUAGGAAGGUAAGGAGGAAACUCAGGAUGGGGACCAUCUGCUCCCCCAACCCCAGCGGGACAAAGACAUCAUCGGAGGUCUGCAAUGCCGACUGGAUGGCCUCGCUACCCCCUCACCUCCACAACGUCCCCCUUUCCAAUCUGGCAAUCCCAGGCUCCCAUGACUCGUUCAGCUACUGGGUCGAUGAGAAGUCCCCGGUGGGGCCUGACCAAACCGCAGCUAUCAAACGCUUGGCCAGGAUCUCCUUGGUGAAGAAGCUCAUGAAGAAGUGGUCCGUGACGCAGAACCUGACCUUCCGAGAGCAGCUGGAAGCUGGGAUCCGCUACUUCGACCUGCGCGUGUCUUCCAAACCUGGGGAUGCCGACCAGGAGAUCUACUUCAUUCACGGACUUUUUGGCAUCAAGGUCUGGGAUGGGCUGAUGGAGAUUGACUCAUUUCUUACCCAGCACCCCCAGGAGAUUGUCUUUCUGGAUUUCAACCACUUCUACGCCAUGGAUGAGGCCCACCACAAGCGCCUGGUUCUCCGAAUCCAGGAGGCCUUUGGAAACAAGCUGUGCUCCGCCUGCAGUGUGGAGAGCAUGACGCCGCGAGCCCUGUGGGAGAAGAAGUGCCAGGUUCUUAUUUUCUAUCACUGUCCCUUCUACAAGCAAUACCCCUUCCUGUGGCCCGGAAAGAAGAUCCCAGCGCCCUGGGCGAACACCACAAGUGUGCGCAAACUCAUCCUCUUCUUGGAGACCACUCUGAGUGAGCGGGCCCCGCGCGGCUCCUUCCACGUCUCUCAAGCCAUUCUCACCCCCAGAGUGAAGACCAUCGCCCGAGGCCUGGUUGGUGGCCUCAAGAACACUCUGGUUCAUAGGAAUCUUCCUGCCAUUCUGGACUGGGUGAAAACUCAGAAGCCUGGGACCACGGGUGUCAACAUCAUCACAUCUGACUUCGUGGACUUGGUGGACUUCGCCACGACUGUCAUUGAAUUGAAUGACCUCCUCCAGGAGGACAGAGCUCUGGCUAAAUGCUGAUUUGAUUUUUAUUUUAGUGUUGACUUUGUUGAUCCAGGCCAGAGUUCUGAAGGGUUUCCUGUUAGGACGGCCCCUGGCAGUGAUGGGGAAGGAGGAGGGGGAGGGCGUUUUCCCCUCUUCCUAGGGCCAUUUGGAUAAAAUUACAGAGCUUUCAGUUGCAUUUUUCCCAAAUGAGACUUUUUAAAAAACUGAAGUCCAAGGGAAGAAGCAUGUUUCGUGUGAUCAAAGUCAGGGUCUCCCCAGUGGUUCAUGAUGCUGAAUGUAAUGUGGAAACGGGGUCUCCAGCUUCCUUUGAGUGUCUCUGAGUUGACCCGGUUUCCUGCUGUCUUCCAGGAUGUUAUGUGUGAGCCUGUGAGAAGACUGAACCAGAAAGGCACUCUUAGGCAAAAGAAUGGCUCAUGGCAGAUCAAUUAUCUUCAGUGCUUCUUACCUCAAGAGCACUCACAAAGGAGCUGCCUGAACUCUUCUCACCCAGGCCGACGCUGCCCUGCUCUUCAACAGGCCUGUGCGUUUCAGGCCUGUGAGUGACCUCUGAGUGACCUCUGACUCGCCUGCAGAUGUUCCCAGCUCCCCCAGUCCUGUCGGGACAGUGUGCAUUGUGUGAGUGUGGCCCAGAGCAGAGAAGCCCCUCCCGGGCCCCGAACGGGGGGCCUGAGGAUGCAAUGGGUCAUGAAGAACCCUCAGUUCUUGAGGGAGACUCUCUUAUAGAGGGUUCGAAAGGAAGGAUCUGGAAAGAAAACUGGGCAUGGGUGUGUGUACAUGCCAAUGCUGCUCAGAUCUGUCUGAGGAUCCCUAAGGAAAGGUCACCUCUGGAUUCUUAAGGCAGAAAGAUAAACAUGGACUCCUGGUCAGAUAUGUGUAUGCUUAAGUACCAUUGGGCCAUCCCCCAAGCGGCUCGCCAUUCCUCUUUUGCCGGUGCUCACGGCUGUGUGGCGGCAGGCCCCAGGGGUGAGCUCCCGAACGCGCACGCGCAGCUCGCACUCUUCCAGUGUCUCUGUAAAGUCGGUUCAUCCCUGACCUUUAGCUCCUGCGGCUGGAGGGGGGUCACACACAAAUGCCUCUGGGAAAAUCUGGUAUAAUUUUUCCUUGUUCUUGCAUUCGAACCCCCACUCCGACAGGUUUCUGGGAUUGUACUGUCCUUUUUUAGGGCCUUCCGUGGAAAGGAGUAAGAACAGAAGUGCCCUCGCUUUUUCAAUUGUUCUUCAGUUCUGCUGUUGAACCCCAGUGACAAGCUUGAAAAUCCCUGGCCUACCCUCAGGAUUUUAUUUGUGUUGUUAUUGUUUCAUUUUGGUCUUAUUUUUAACUCUUGAUUGAUUGCUAGGGACUAGAUGGUCUCCCCUCUUUUAAUCCUUUGUAACUUGGCAAAGAGAUCAGGAGGCAAGAGGAGAAUUACUCUGCUCUGUUUUAUUUGAGCCUCAGCUUUGUCCAGGUGCUUGGUGCUAUGAGGCCAGGUGUGUUGGCGGGGACCUACACAGGAUGCCAGUGACACCCAAGGGCUGCUGACUGUUCAGUGAAAUGUUUACUUGAUUUUUUCCCUUUCGUUUUAAAAGAUAUAAUUGCACUUCACUUGGGUUGUAACAUUUAAGUGCAUCUCAGUAUUUGCCUGGUAAGAGAAAAGUCAUCAAGCAUGACACAAAAGCACAGGAAAUGGUCCCAAGGUCAUGGGCAUGGAGUCCUGCUCUAUGUGGCAAGUGCAGGUGCUUGUCCCUUCUUACUGCUCUGGGUUUCCAGCCUGGCUUGCAUUCUCAAAUUCUGCCCAGGAGUUCUGGGAGAUGGGAGCAAGAUUAUUUGCAGUUCGCCCUUGAUAAACACCCUUGAACUGACAGAAUCUCUGCUCCAAGAAAAAGUCGUUCACCAUAUUGCAAAGGAGGUAUGCAUUCUGCUCUUGGACCUAAGGCCAAGCAGGAGACUCUGUGAUGGGACAGAGGGACAAUAGACUUUCGGUCUAUGACAUAAAAAUGGUUGAUCCAACCACAUCAUUUAUUCUCACAAGAUCAAACAAGGCUAUCAUGCUUACUCAGAAUUCACUUCCAAGAUCAACUAAAGAGCUACUUGACUGAGCCAAAGAGGGCUUUCGUUUCACAGGAUUUGGGGCAUAGUUCUUCUGAAAUGUAGGCUGCUUUUUCAUGAACUCUCUGGACCAUUCGCCACAUUUCCAUGGCUUUGUGGCCAAGGGGACAAUCACAGGUUUCAGUUAGAUUAGAGCACUGUAUAAAGGCUUGAACUUGGAGUCUAUAAGAGGUACCACUGUGGUUUUAUGGGCACAGAAGAUAUUCUUAGGGCUGGAGAGAUAAGUCAAGAUGGAACUGAUGGAAGGGAUGAUAAAUGAUUGUGGUUUAAAUCUUAAACUAAUGGCAAACUGAAGAGGGUCAUACCAAGAACUAUUAUAUAUAUGCUGUAUGAGACCUCUAAUAAUUACAUUUUGUUAUUUCCUCAGCACUGAGUCCAGACCCCUGGAUUCUUGAGAAUUCUUGAGAAUAGUUAGGCCACAGUCCAAACCCAGGAUUUUUAUAUAUACUCAAGGAAAAGCACAAGAUCUGAGCCCAGGUCACGAUUAAUCUUAAGAAUCCUAGUUCUUCUUUCAUGACCUCACAUUCACAUCACAAAGUGGAUGUUUCUGUUCAAGAAGGUGACGUGGUGGAACACUCCGGAACGAAAAGCAGUUUUGUGGUGGGUCAAGAUUUUGUUUCUGUUUUUCUGAAUCCUGCCAUAAGAAAGUGUCCCCCAAAGAGAUGUGAUUACAAAGUGGUAAGAAAGUUUAGUGCUAAGCUUUAGUACUAAGCUAACGGUGGAGAAACAGAAGAAAUUCCAACUGAAAUGAAAUGGUUUCUCUUCAUGGAAGCACUAGGGCUACACAACUUCAGGCCAUCUCAUCAAAUGAGUUCGUGCCCUGGUGAAGUUUUUGUAAUGUUCUUUAUUGGCUGACUACAGUUUUUUACUGGGAGGUUCUGGGAAACGGAACAGGCUAACAAGUGGGUCCCAGCCACGAGACUUCUCUCUCGUGGCUUUCCAGUUCAGUGACCCUGUGCUACAUCUGCCUUGGAUCCUUAAUCUGGAAUAAAGAUGCUGUCUGCCACAUUAGUGCUGUUCUGCAAACCUUGGUGGAUUAGCUCCCCAAAAUAUCAGGCCCCUUAUGGUUAAAUUAUAUGUCUCCUACUCAUUCUUCCUGUGCUGCAUGUGUGAAGAAAUGCUAUUUGGGUUCAUUUCUCAAAAGUGUGGUGUAGGAUGAUGGAACUGGCAUGACACUCACGUCGAAUGAGAUGAGUGGAGCUGCGUGAAAUCAGCUGGCAAGCUCUCGAGUUCCUGAGAGGUGGGCUUUCCCAAGUGCAUGCUAAACGGUCAUGUUAUGCUUGAGGGAAUGAACAGAAACUGAUAACAUCAAAUAUCCUGGCAGGAAGUUUUGUUUUCUGUGGCAUAGAACAUGGCUGUCCCUCAAAAUUCUGCUACCUUUCCCGUCUUCCUUGGCCUUCUGCCUCAGAUGGCUUUCUAGUAUUUGACAUCACAACUUUGUCACUCACAGAUGUCACCUUGGGAUGCACAGAAGUGAAUUGGUUAGGUGAUAAGUGAUUUAGCUGGAAAUUGACUCUAAUUCCCAGUGAUCAUGAACAGCUCUUUACUACCCCAGGAGACGUACUAUCUCCUUAUCUUCUGGCUUCCCCGGCUUCCAACUAGAAAUAUUGACAUUAAAGCUACUAUAUUGCUACAUGGACCCUUAACCCGGAAGAAUACAGUACAAAAUGCUAUUGAUAUUGUUGAAAUUGUGUCUUAACAUGCUUUAAAAGUAUUCUAAGAGAACUCUUUCAAUCCUGCAGUGAUUAACAGUGUUCUAGUCUUUUCUCUAACAAAACUUAUUCUUAAGAAUUUUCAGACUCGUUUCUAAGCCUAUGUAGUUUGGAUACAACAUUUCUUUCUUCUCUUCACUGGGAACUCAAUCCCACAGUCCGCUGAGAUAACCCCAUCCAUAGUCAAGAGGCAUUUUCCUAUCUCAUUCCUUCUGAUCUCUACAGAAGACCAUUUUCCCCUCUUGUCUCUUGGGUAUCCUUUAGCAUCUGCUGGUUACGAUGAAUAACAGAAUGCUGGCAAAACUUACACAAAAAGGCACACGCAUUCAAUGAUGUCCAAAUGCAUUCUUAUCAUGGUGGUGAUUGCGUAAUUCUGCCCCCACCCCCGCUCCGCCUCACACAGAAUAUGAUUGGAACCCAGAACCAGGGGCCACCGCUUCAUUCAAAUAGUAGGAGCUCGCUCUCAAGCAUGGAGCCCAAUGAGAAGCAUAACACUUUGAAGUCAAAUAGACCCUCAGUCGCUUUGUAUAUCUACAGUUUUACAUUUGCUGUUUAUAGCACUAAUAACACUGUGGUCACGAAUCUGUGAUAUCAAUAUGAUAAAUCUGAGAACAUAUUCUAGACACAGUGCUACCUUGCUGCUACUAUACUUUCUGGCUUAUGCCCCAGUAUUAAUAAGUAUCACAUACAGAUUGUAUAUGCAUUGUUCAUACUGGAUAAUAUGCCAACUAUAAUACUUAACCUCACCGAUCGGCACUUAGAAAACAAGAGAUUAUCAUAGUGAAAAUACGUCUUGGUCAAUUCAGAUGACAUGUGAAUCUGAGAAAUAUUCUAUUAGAUAUUAUGUUUGUCCUCUAGGCUUGUUUUAUAUUACAGUGCAUGCUGUUUGCUAAGUUAAGUAAAAAAUGAUAAUAAACUAUACCAAUUAAAGGUUAGAGUGAAAAUUUUACAUAUAUCCUGCUUGGUACUCUGAAAUGUAUUUUGUGGCUUAAUUAUCUUAUUCACACACAUUUCACUUGGCUUUUUCCCCCCUAGGAAAUCAUUUUUCAAAUAUAUUUUUCCUUCUUUCUUAUAAACUGGAUCACACUGCUUAAUUCAACCUAAAACAUUGUAAAGCCGGAUUACCUCAUUUUAACUGUGAAAAAAAAUUAAUAGAUAUGAUGACAUAAUGUCUUUUCUUGUAUUUUAUUUGAACUACCUAAAUAGGCUUAAACCUAAUAAUAAAUAUAAAACUUCAGCAGGCA
Molecule: RNA transcript, 6622 nt
Organism: Lutra lutra (Eurasian river otter)
Lineage: Eukaryota; Metazoa; Chordata; Mammalia; Carnivora; Mustelidae
Gene: PLCXD2
Gene name: phosphatidylinositol specific phospholipase C X domain containing 2
Exons: 5
Source: RefSeq, a predicted model, not a curated record